GAUGAACGCUGGCGGCGUGCCUAACACAUUCAAGUCGAACGGGGUUAUUACGAAUGAAGCUUCGGCAGAUUUGUUUAACCAGUGGCGGACGGGUGAGUAACGCGUGAGCAACCUGCCUUUGCAACCGGGAUAACAGUUGGAAACGACUGCUAAUACCGGAUAACACACAUUGGUCGCAUGUCCGAUGUGUCAAAGAUCCGUUGUGCAAAGAUGGAUUCGCGUCUGAUUAGCUAGUUGGUGGGGUAACGGCUCACCAAGGCGACGAUCAGUAGCCGGCCUGAGAGGGUGACCGGCCACAUUGGGACUGAGAUACGGCCCAGACUCCUACGGGAGGCAGCAGUGGGGAAUAUUGCACAAUGGGGGAAACCCUGAUGCAGCAACGCCGCGUGAAGGAUGACGGUCUUCGGAUUGUAAACUUCUUUUCUCAAGGACGAUAAUGACGGUACUUGUGGAAUAAGCCACGGCUAACUACGUG
RNAcentral lists this ribosomal RNA (475 nucleotides) under uncultured bacterium. RNAcentral describes it as "bacterial SSU rRNA". It matches the Rfam family "Bacterial small subunit ribosomal RNA", at positions 28 to 507 of the family's 1533-position model. The record is from RNAcentral.